CAGGAGAAAUGUCUGGGAUUUGGUUAAUCACCUCAGCCUCGUGGAAAGGGCAGGGGGGCAAGCCAGAGGGAAUGGGAAAACCUGCUGGAGGCUCCAGGAGAAGGACGCUGAGCUGGAAGGAGAUAAGUACGCAUGGGGGCUUCGAGCUGGUGGGAGAAGAGAGGAGCUGGAGGAAGGAAUCCCACGCUUGAAGGGGUUUUUCACUACUCCUUCCCAGACAUCAGCCAGCAAUCCGGCGGCCGAGGGGGGAAGCAGUAGGGUGGGGAGGGAGAGGGUAGAGGGAAGAACGAGGGGGGAGCACACACUGGCAUUGAAUUGGUCUUUCCCUCCUUCUGCUUGCCACCAGGCAAUAAAUUCGGGUCUUGUUAUUUCUCCCUAUCACCUCUACCUGCUUGGAAGCCUUUAGCACCUCCCUUGUGAUCUCUGCAGGUACUGCUUUGGAGACAUGACCGCACACACAGACACACACACUCACACUUAUCCUGCACCCAAAUUACAGGGUUACACGGAGCCCAGUCAAUACCUCCGCACCACAGAUAACAUGUUUCCUCCCCACCUUCUGCUAUUGACCGUGGGUGGAUCUCUGCCGCUAAUUAGAGACACUGAAAUCCUGGAAAUAUCAACCACAAAUAGCACUCUGAAGACACUUGUCCCUUUUUUAAAUGUAACGCGUUUAUUUCCCUUGGUCCUUUUCUCUUUUUCUUUCGAAGAAGCCCCUACUUGAUUCAAGAGCCCGACUUCUACCAUCUACCUCUACAUCAGGUAUAGGUGGGCACACGUUUUCCUGCGCUCCUCAGGAGCCAAUUUUUGGCCAGUGAAAAAUACAGGUAUGCCCGAAAAUGGUGAUAAAUGAAAUCAGGUGCGAUGGGAUAAAGAAGUGAGGAAGGAGGCUGCAGAGAAGCCGUGGCGGCAGCAGGAUAGAAGCCCCGGCCGCCGACCCCGCUGUGCCCCGCACCCCCGGCCACGCCGCCUGGCCACUGCCACCUCCCAGCACCUGCCAGACGACAUGGGCUCUGGAAAUCCUUCCCCAUCCCUUCUGGAGAAUCCUUCUCCGCCCCCAGUCCUGUCCAAGUUCUUCAGGGCAUGGGGAAGAGCAAUUAAAUUUUCCGCCUGAUCUCCCCCCGCAGGUUCCCAGACAUUCCCCAGGCGCGCUGCCGGUCCCCUCGGCCAGCAGCAAUGCUGAGCUUUCCCCGGCACGGGGAGAAGCGCUGAGCCCUUCCAGAGCCCGCUGCAAGGGUUAACCCGGGGGAUGGAGCAGCAUCCUUCCCGUUGGAAACACGCCACCUGAACGCGAGAUCAAACCUACUCACCGGGUGAAAUUGCAGGAGGCGAAGCGGCUGGGAAUAAAACGCAUCCCGGCUCCAAGCAUAUAGUCCAUGAUCUGCGGCUUCAAGCUAGAGCAGGCUGAGCAGGGUGGGGGGACUGUGGGAACCAGCAGCGGUUCUGUGUAUGUGACAACCCAUUUACACCGUGCGUGCCCGUCUGUGCGUGUGUGUAGGGCAGAGAGAGGCUCCAAACCCAAACGGGGGGAAAGAGGGAGGGGAGAAGGAGGAGGAGAGAGGGAAGCAAACCCGAAUAGCAAGAGGAGUUGCGAAGAGGGAUGGGAUUCGCUGGGGUAGAUUUGGGUUUUUUUGGUGGUGAUGGAAGCUAUUCUCGAGGAAAAAAAAAUAACAGAUUGUGGGCUCAGCCGCAGGCAGGAGGAGAGCAGCUUUGCCCACACAGGUGGAACACAGGCAAGCCCGCAGCGAGCCGGGAGGGCCAGAGACAGCCGGAGCUCAUCCCGGGGGCCGGGCAGUGACGGGGAGCCGAGCCCGAGAUGGGGAGAGCGAUAUCCCGGGGGCAGCUCCGGGAGCGGGCUGGGCACGGGCACAGCGCGCCCGCAGGCUGCGGGUGGCGCGGCAGCAGCAUCCUUCCUCCGCCUCCUCCUCCUCCUCCUCCUCCUGCACCCACAACCCAGCGAGCCGCGGCGGCGAUACCGGCCGGCCCUCCUUCCCGCAUCCUCCCCGGCUCUCCCUGCGAGCCCGGCACGGAAGGGCUGCAGAGAUCCUGAAGCGGGGAUGCUGCUUGUGGGAGCUGGACGGGGACGCGACAGCGUUUGUGAUGGGCGGACAUGUCCCUGCUCAUCCCCCGUGUCCCUCUGCUGCCCCGGGUAAGGGAGCAUCGCCCCUCCAUUGCCGCCGCUUCUCGAUGCUUCCAGGCUCUUGGCAUGGAAAUAAUGCCCUGGCUCCGCGGAAAAACCCCCUUUUCCUCGCACGGUGACUCCGGAAUGCGUGCGGAAUUGGAAGGUGCGUGGGGCAGAGGGAGGCAGCGGCAUUUAUGGAGCUUGAUGUGUGUCCCCCCCUCUCCUGGUCCCCGUGCUGGAAGCAGACAGGCGUUCAUGGCUAAUAAAAAUGCUUUUCCCCGGGUGUAGGUGGGCUGAGAGCGAGUGAACUGAGCCCAGCCCGUGUCAGGGAGCAGCGAGCAGACCAACACACGGAGCUGUGGCAUCCCUGCGGUGCAGCACGGCUGUGUGCUCCUCACGCCUAGCAGGAUCCAUCAGCACAGCAGCCAUGCAGAUUAGGUGAUGGAUGUGCCAGGCAAUAUGGAGAGAUCAUACACCAGCACUUGUCUGCUGUGCUCUAUGUGCUCUUUAAGAGAGAGAGUAAUUUCUGGGUUUUUAUUAAAAAAGCUUUUUGUCUUCUUUCUGUUAUCUCCGUAAUUACCAGUGUGAAGCAUUCGUGCCUGUUUGCCAGUCUGGCAGUUUUAUGUUCCAGAACCUGCUGGGAAAAAGUCAGAAAUCGCAGAAGCCCAAGAUUUCUUUGUCAUCACAUUGGUUUGUUCCUCUCAGCAUAUUUAAUCAUUAAUUCACUCCACGAAUUGCUCAGUGGAGUGAGCUGAUCUUAGCAAUGAUUUACGCUGCUGGGGGCUUUAUUGAUUUUUUUUCUUUAGCGAGCACGUAAGAAAAGGAGUGUAGGAAGGAUCACACAGUUUGUAAAAAAAAAAAAAUAAAAUAUAGAUAUAUAUAUGUAUAUAAUCAGUGUACGUUUCAGUAGUCGCUGUUAAACAUAUAUACGAUUCUUUAUGCAAUUAUAAAAACAAAAGGUCUCUCUGCCUCAGGAUAUGAUUUCUCUUAUAGCAACAGGUAGCAAAGGCUCCUGUGCCCCCUCUCUCCCCUUAUCUCCUCCCCUUCAGCUCCUGCUGACAAAGCGCCGGUUUAAAAGGUCAGCCUGUUUAUGCAAAUAUUGUGGGUUUCUUAACAAAGACUGCCGCACAUCAAGCUGAAAUAACUGCCAGAUAGACUUGGGAUUCGAGGCAUUGGGGAAGGGUGCUGUCCAUUUCCUAGGGCUGGUUAAAAACUCGGAGGAAACAAAGCACAGCUGGAGCUUGGCUGGGAUGGAUGGGCAGCAGCACCGUCUCGGCAGAGUUUGGUACUGCAGUGUCCAUCGCACCUUGGCGCUGCCUGGUGCGAGAGAGACCCACAAAAUGUGCAAGGAGACAUUUGCUGCUGUGCUAAUGCCUUUCUGCUCUCUUCUUCAGGUUUCUUCUUCUCUCUAGCCAUGUCCUAGGCUGAACUUGCUCUGCGGCUUGUUCACACCAAAGGUAGAUUUAAUCAGCCAAGGAGGAUUUUGAGUCUGACCAACCUCACCCUCCCCAUGAAACAGAUUGACUUCAUUGGUCUUUGGCUCAGACACUUCAUAAUAAGGUGGAGUUCCUAUCUCAUAGCAUCCAGAGGUGCAGUGGACAUAGUCUGGUCUUUAUUUCCCUCCCUGCCCCCUUCUUUCACCUACAGAGCAGGAUGUUUCCUCAGGUAAUAUCAACUCUUCUGGUCCUUUUCCACUUUAAAUUUAACAAGAAUAUUCUGAUUUUAUUCACUUCAUAGGAUCACAGAAUUAUGGAAUAGUUAAUUUGGGAAGGGACCUUAAAGAUGAUCUAAUUCCAGCCCCUUGUCACAUCCCACAGGAAUAGGCUGCUCAGAAAAGAUUAUGUCCAUUACCAAAAGGUUAAAAAAGUUACUUUGGAAUUACAACACAGAUCUUUCCCUGUGGUCAAGUCCAAGACCUAAUUGCCACCACAGUUUGAUUUGAGCCCUCAAAACCAUUCUAAAGCAGAGUUAAAGGGUUGUAGAGGAUUAUGAUGUCUUUUGUUCAGCGGUGUUAAUAACCUAUGGCCUUAAAAUAGGAUAUUAUAAAAUCUCGUUUUAGGGCAGAGUCCUGAAGCCACAAACAAUGGAGCAAAAUUGCACUUGAACGAGGCAGAAGCUUACAUCACCACCAAAAAUGCUAAAUGCAGAUUGGGACCCUGUAUGCAGCAGAAUCAUGUGAGGGAGAAGUGGAGCAUCAAAUUCUCUCUUCCCAAAAGCCUUUUGGCCCUGAAUUAGAGGUCAUUAGAGUCCUUUGUCCUGUAAAUCUGCAUUUAACAGCAGUGUGUAUCUGUGUAGGUAAAUACAUUUUAACAGCUUAUCGCAUCAUAUCUUUUUUCUACUUCAUAUUAUCAACCCUUUGAUCCUGUUUCUUCCUGAACCUGCUAAGAGAUUCUUCUUUAACUACUGAAAAAUGUAUGUAAUUUAUUAAGGCAUUUCAGUAGUUACUCUAAGUUUGCAACAGGCAAACCUAUUAUGCAAACACUACUGUCACCUUCUUGCAGUGACUUCCUUCUCCCAGCUAUAAUGAAUUCCCUGCAUGCUACUUUGCUGUAAAUUCUCCAUCUAAAAAUUCCAUACACUAUGUGAUGUGUCAGGAGAAACUGUACUUGACUUUUGAAACAGUUGGGAGGAGCAGAAUGAUAACCUACUAAAGUGCCUUGCCCUUAACUGAAAUUAUGGCAAGUAAUUAAAGUUAGAGCAAAAAGA
This is a long non-coding RNA of Catharus ustulatus (Swainson's thrush), 4828 nucleotides long. RefSeq lists it as uncharacterized. Lineage: Eukaryota; Metazoa; Chordata; Aves; Passeriformes; Turdidae. The transcript has 3 exons. The record is from RefSeq and is a predicted model, not a curated record.